RNAcentral lists this long non-coding RNA (1848 nucleotides) under Homo sapiens (human). RNAcentral's name for it is "HSALNT0097376". The record is from RNAcentral. Lineage: Eukaryota; Metazoa; Chordata; Mammalia; Primates; Hominidae.
CAAAUGUCAUCUUUUAAGACCUGCCUUCCGAGACAGCAUCAGUCAUCUUAUCAUCCUUCCAUUGCUUUCUUUUUCUCUAAAGCACAUACUGGCACCCAUUUUUUAAAAAACUCAUUUGUCUUUCUGCACCAGGAAAUAAUAGAGCAUGGCAAAUUGGAGUCUUCAAUUAAGCACACGGAAUACAUGUGCUGAAUUGCUUUCUUUGCAAGGUUCAGAGUCAGAAUUCCUGCCCUGGGUUCUGAGUUGCUGAGUGGAGACGAUGAUGGAGAGCAGUGGAGACACGUGAUUUUCAGGGUGCUCUUUGCAUGCAUGAAAUGGAGCAAGACUUAUGAAGGGAAAAUGAAAGAGGAGGAUAGGAAGAUACGUCACCUCCUGGGUUUCCUCCAAUCAUCCAGUCCUCAUCUCUCUAUAUGUCUUUGAACACUCUGAGCGCCAUCAUGCCAAUUCCAUGGAUGAAACAAAUACCCAUGACUCAGCAUUUUUCUAAUGAAAACACGUGCGGUCUGACCCGAAGGAGAAACCACAAACAGAAUUGAGAAAAGCAGGCAGGCAAAUUUUGCUUUUCUUUUUCGUUAACCAACAGAAAAUGUAAGGACUGUUUCAUUAGGGAAUAAAAAAAAAAUGACUUACAGAAUUAACCAGAAGCAGCUCAUGAUAAAAUACAGUAUCACGCUAGAAAUACAUGUUUUACUUUUCAUGAAAGCUAACCACAUUGCCAUGAUGGGAACUCUCACACAUUGCUGGUGGGUAUGCAAAAUGAGACAGCCAGUCUGGAAAACAGUCUGCCAGUUUCCCGUGAUGUUACACUUACCACACACCCUAAUAAUCCCAAGUCUAGGUAUUUACCCUAGAGAAAUGAGGACUUAAUGUUCAACCCAAAAUCUGCACGUGAAAAUUUGUAGCGGCUUUAUUCCUUGUCACUAAAAACUGAGAACAACCAGAUGUCCUGCAAGUGACUGAAUAAACAAAGUAUAGUAAUUCAUAUACUACAAAGUAUAAUUCAUGGAGUACUAUGAAGCAAAAGCAGGAAUGACUAGAGUUAAUAACAAAGUAUUGUAUUGUUGAAAAUUGCUGAGCGAGUAGAUUUUAAAUGUUCUCACCACAAAGAACUGAAAAGUAUGUGAGGUAAUGAAUAUGUUAAGUAGCUUGAUUUAGCCAUUCCACAAUGUACAUAUAUCAAAACAUCGUGGUGUAUACCAUAAAUAUAUACAAAUGUUAUUUGUCUAUUAAAGAAGUUAAUUAAAGAAAAGGAUGGACUAUUGAUACACACAACCACUUGGAUACAUUGCAAAGGUACCAUGCUGAAUGAAAGAAAUUAGUUUCAAAAGCUAUGAUUUCAUUUAGAUGACAUCCUCAAGAAGACAAAACUGUAGUGACAAGGACAGAUUAGUGACUAGGAGAGACUGAGACAGGGCUGGGGUGUGUAAGUAACUACAAAAGGAGAACAUGGGAAAUUUUCGAGGCAAAAGGGUUGUCUUGGGUUCCUGCAGUUGUGACAGUUCCAGAAACCUGUAUUUGUGUUAAAAUCUACAGAACUGUACACAGUGAAGCCAAUUUUACUGUAUGUUAACUUUAAAAAUAUAAUACCACAAUAAAAUUAAACAUCACGCUGAAUGCUAAGAAUAGGAUAGACUUGCUUCAAUGGAUGGGGGAAAGACUUGCUUAACGGUAGGAGCCAUUUCAGGCAGAGACACUGAGGCUACUCUGUAACAAGGGAGAAAGGCAGCCUGAAAACUUGGUAAAUCUGUUUCCAAAAUAUUUGUCAUGUCCUUAAAAAUAAAAGCACACUGGAAAACACAAAAACGGAAUCAACCUCUCAGUAAAAGUCCUAUUGGCAUAUCGUUAAUC